This 491-nucleotide ribosomal RNA is filed under the name uncultured bacterium. RNAcentral's name for it is "partial 16S ribosomal RNA". It matches the Rfam family "Bacterial small subunit ribosomal RNA", at positions 29 to 506 of the family's 1533-position model. The record is from RNAcentral.
AGUGAACGCUGGCGGUAGGCCUAACACAUGCAAGUCGAACGGCAGCACAGUAAGAGCUUGCUCUUACGGGUGGCGAGUGGCGGACGGGUGAGGAAUACAUCGGAAUCUACUUUUUCGUGGGGGAUAACGUAGGGAAACUUACGCUAAUACCGCAUACGACCUACGGGUGAAAGCAGGGGAUCUUCGGACCUUGCGCGAUUGAAUGAGCCGAUGUCGGAUUAGUUAGUUGGCGGGGUAAAGGCCCACCAAGGCGACGAUCCGUAGCUGGUCUGAGAGGAUGAUCAGCCACACUGGAACUGAGACACGGUCCAGACUCCUACGGGAGGCAGCAGUGGGGAAUAUUGGACAAUGGGCGCAAGCCUGAUCCAGCCAUACCGCGUGGGUGAAGAAGGCCUUCGGGUUGUAAAGCCCUUUUGUUGGGAAAGAAAAGCAGCAGGUUAAUACCCCGCUGUUCUGACGGUACCCAAAGAAUAAGCACCGGCUAACUUCGU